This 467-nucleotide ribosomal RNA is filed under the name uncultured bacterium. RNAcentral describes it as "partial 16S ribosomal RNA". It matches the Rfam family "Bacterial small subunit ribosomal RNA", at positions 28 to 507 of the family's 1533-position model. The record is from RNAcentral.
GACGAACGCUGGCGGCGUGCUUAACACAUGCAAGUCGAACGAUGACGACCGAGCUUGCUCGGUCUGAUUAGUGGCGAACGGGUGAGUAACACGUGAGCAACCUACCCUUCACUCUGGGAUAACCUCGGGAAAUCGGGGCUAAUACCGGAUAUGAGCUCCUGUCGCAUGGCGGGUGUUGGAAAGUUUUUCGGUGAAGGAUGGGCUCGCGGCCUAUCAGUUUGUUGGUGAGGUAGUGGCUCACCAAGGCGAUGACGGGUAGCCGGCCUGAGAGGGCGACCGGCCACACUGGGACUGAGACACGGCCCAGACUCCUACGGGAGGCAGCAGUGGGGAAUAUUGCACAAUGGGCGAAAGCCUGAUGCAGCGACGCCGCGUGAGGGAUGACGGCCUUCGGGUUGUAAACCUCUUUCAGCAGGGAAGAAGCGAAAGUGACGGUACCUGCAGAAGAAGCGCCGGCUAACUACGUG